UACCGGCAGUCCGAGUGAUGGCCGAUCUUAUUGGGCCUAAAGCGUCCGUAGCUGGCUGAACAAGUCCGUUGGGAAAUCUGUCCGCUUAACGGGCAGGCGUCCAGCGGAAACUGUUCAGCUUGGGACCGGAAGACCUGAGGGGUACGUCUGGGGUAGGAGUGAAAUCCUGUAAUCCUGGACGGACCGCCGGUGGCGAAAGCGCCUCAGGAGAACGGAUCCGACAGUGAGGGACGAAAGCUAGGGUCUCGAACCGG
This 254-nucleotide ribosomal RNA is filed under the name uncultured bacterium. RNAcentral's name for it is "partial 16S ribosomal RNA". It matches the Rfam family "Archaeal small subunit ribosomal RNA", at positions 474 to 727 of the family's 1478-position model. The record is from RNAcentral.